GGAGGGGUGGCAGAGCGGUUGAAUGCGCUGGUCUUGAAAACCAGUAACGGGCAACCCCCGUUCGUGGGUUCGAAUCCCACCCCCUCCG
Molecule: transfer RNA, 88 nt
Filed under: Solirubrobacterales bacterium
Lineage: Bacteria; Bacillati; Actinomycetota; Thermoleophilia; Solirubrobacterales
Description: tRNA-Ser
Rfam family: tRNA
About the family: Transfer RNA (tRNA) molecules are approximately 80 nucleotides in length. Their secondary structure includes four short double-helical elements and three loops (D, anti-codon, and T loops). Further hydrogen bonds mediate the characteristic L-shaped molecular structure. tRNAs have two regions of fundamental functional importance: the anti-codon, which is responsible for specific mRNA codon recognition, and the 3' end, to which the tRNAs corresponding amino acid is attached (by aminoacyl-tRNA synthetases). tRNAs cope with the degeneracy of the genetic code in two manners: having more than one tRNA (with a specific anti-codon) for a particular amino acid; and 'wobble' base-pairing, i.e. permitting non-standard base-pairing at the 3rd anti-codon position.
Source: RNAcentral